RNAcentral lists this ribosomal RNA (1022 nucleotides) under Streptococcus constellatus. Its description in RNAcentral is "bacterial SSU rRNA". It matches the Rfam family "Bacterial small subunit ribosomal RNA", at positions 385 to 1457 of the family's 1533-position model. Lineage: Bacteria; Bacillati; Bacillota; Bacilli; Lactobacillales; Streptococcaceae. The record is from RNAcentral.
GACCUGCCACCACCCGGGGAUGAGAAGCUUCGGUUGUAAGCUUUUUUUAGGAGAACGGUUUGGUAUGAAGUUCCACAGGGCUGUCCUAACAGAAAGGAGGGUAAUUAGGGCCCGCAGCCGGGUAAAGGGGGUCCCGAGUUUUCGGAUUUUUGGGUUAAAGCAGCGCGGGUCUAGAAAUUCUAAGAAAACCCAGGGCUCACCGUAGUGGCUUUGAAACUGUUGACUUGAUUCAGAAGGGAGAGUGAAUUCCAUGGUAGCGGGAAAUGCGUAGAUAUUGGAGGAACCCCGGGGCGAAAGCGGCUCUCUGGUCUGUACUGACGUCAGGCUGAAAGCGUGGGAGCGAACAGGUUAGAUACCCGGUAGUCCACGCCGUAAACGAUGAGUGCUAGGUGUUGGUCCUUUCCGGGAGUUUUGCCACAGCUAACGCAUAAGCACUCCGCCUGGGGAGUGCGCCCGCAAGGUUAAUCUCAAGGGAAUUGACGGGGGCCCGCACGAGCGGGGGCGCAUGUGGUUUAAUUAGAAGCAACGCGAAGCACCUCACCAUGUCUUCACAUCCCUCUGCCCACUCUAGAGAUAGAGUUCCCUUUCGGGGCAGAGGUCACAGGUGGCGCAUGGUUGUUGUCAGCUCGUGUCGUGAGAUGGUGGGUUAAGUCCCGCAACGAGCGCACCCCUUCUUGUUAGUUCCCCUCAUUCAGUUGGGCACUCUAGGGAGACUGCCGGUAAUAAACCGGAGGAAGGUGGGGAUGACGUCAAAUCAUCAUGCCCCUUAUGACUUGGGCUACACACGUGCUACAAUGGCUGGUACAACGAGUCGCAAGCCGGUGACGGCAAGCUAAUCUUUGAAAGCCAGUCUCAGUUCGGAUUGUAGGUUGCAACUUGCCUACAUGAAGUUGGAAUCGCUAGUAAUUGCGGAUCAGCACGCCGCGGUGAAUACGUUCCCGGGCCUUGUACACCCCGCCCGUCACCCCCCGAGAGUUUGUAACACCCGAAGUCGGUGAGGUAACCGUAAGGAGCCAGCCGCC